AAAAGAAAAGACCACACGAAUGGGUAAAGCCCUAUCUCUCCUCUGAUAUUCCCCAUUUUCAAACCCUCCAAACCGAUGACAUCCUUUCCUGCGAAAUCUUGAAUUUUGAAGCACCAUGUCACUUACCGACUGUUAAGUUUUACUUCCAACAGUACUCUUCCUUUCCGGUCGAUCGCCCAUAUUUGACUGUUCGUCAAGGCCAUUACGGUCUCAAUAGUUCAGCCAUCGCGAAACAAUGAAGACCUAGCUCAAGCGUCCAUCAAAUCCUACUUCAUACACGAUAUUACGACUCAGAAGACAAAUGGUGGGUAAGAAUUCUGAAGUAUGUCGCGAAUGCAAGAGAAAGAGACACUUCUUCGUCAAUUGCCCAAUAAAAUGUCGAUGCCCACAGUGUACCAAUGGGUUUUAGAAGUUUUUGUGGUUGAAAGAGAGACUGCUGACAAAGGCAAAUUUUUCAAAUGUUGCAGUAUUAAGUACAGAUUUUGGGAGUGGUGCGAAAAAUGAAAAGCAAUUGGUGAAUCGAGUACCGUUAGCAUUACCAAGGCUGAAGAAGUGGCAAAUGAAACAUCUGACAAUAUCAUCCAUAUGUUCCAAUCUCAAGUUUGAUCAAACGACGAAGAAAAAAUAGGUAUUUCUGUGAAUGUGACUACCCACAAGGGAAAAGGCAUUGCGAACGCAUGCACAAAAGGGAAAGGGUUGGCUUGAGCAGUGGUUAAUAUUUGAUUAGCUUUAAGGGUUUUGUGUAUGUGUUAAGUGAACAAACAACUUUUGUUUGUAUAAUAAUUUGCAGCUCCAUGAAAUAGCUACAUUCUAUCUAACUUUUGUGACUUCAAUGAGCAACAUGUUAAUUAAUUGAUGUUUA
This is a long non-coding RNA of Olea europaea var. sylvestris, 862 nucleotides long. RefSeq lists it as uncharacterized. NCBI's taxonomy places the organism in Eukaryota, Viridiplantae, Streptophyta, Magnoliopsida, Lamiales, Oleaceae. The record is from RefSeq and is a predicted model, not a curated record. The transcript has 2 exons.